CAGUAGCUGAGUGGAUAACGCGAAAGCGUUUGAAGCGAAAGGUACUGGGUUCAAAUCCCAGAGUGAA
Molecule: transfer RNA, 67 nt
Filed under: Schistosoma mansoni
Lineage: Eukaryota; Metazoa; Platyhelminthes; Trematoda; Strigeidida; Schistosomatidae
Source: RNAcentral